RNAcentral lists this unclassified non-coding RNA (298 nucleotides) under Dothideomycetes sp. RNAcentral describes it as "partial contains 5.8S ribosomal RNA, internal transcribed spacer 2, and large subunit ribosomal RNA". The stretch from base 1 to 71 matches the Rfam family "5.8S ribosomal RNA", at positions 84 to 154 of the family's 154-position model. The record is from RNAcentral. Lineage: Eukaryota; Fungi; Ascomycota; Dothideomycetes.
GUGAAUCAUCGAAUCUUUGAACGCACAUUGCGCCCUUUGGCAUUCCGAGGGGCAUGCCCGUUCGAGCGUCAUUUAAACCACUCAAGCCUAGCUUGGUAUUGGGCGUCGGGGACCUCCCCGCGCCUCCAUGUCGCCGGCUGGCCGUCGUUUGACUUAGCGUUGUGAGACACAUGUCGCUGACGACGAAGACAGACCGCGCCGUUAGAAUUUUCGGAGACGUUAAUCAACGUCCCGUACAGGUUGACCUCGGAUCGGGUAGGAAUACCCGCUGAACUUAAGCAUAUCAAUAAGCGGAGGA